Long non-coding RNA from Lucilia cuprina (Australian sheep blowfly), 611 nucleotides. RefSeq lists it as uncharacterized. NCBI's taxonomy places the organism in Eukaryota, Metazoa, Arthropoda, Insecta, Diptera, Calliphoridae. The record is from RefSeq and is a predicted model, not a curated record. The transcript is spliced from 3 exons.
AAAGAUUUAUUUUAAGAUUUUUGAAUAUGAGAGGCGGAAGCAAAAGAAAUUUAAAACGACUAAUAAACAGGGAGUGUAACAAUAAAAUAAACGAAGCAAAUCGUGAGUCAUAUACACGUUGUAUGUCAUCUAAUUAAGGACAACUCCAUAAAACCCUUACCGAAAUUUUUUCCGUAAAUUUAAUCAAAUAUAGAUGGUGUCCACGGCAAGCUUUCGCUUAAAAAUUUCAAACGUUUUUAUGAUGAUUUAAUGGAUUCAAUUUGGGCUAACAGGGAGGAAUAUCCUGAAAAGGGGAUUAGAUAUGCCUUCACAGUUGUAAAAAACGACAUUUUCAGUCAAUAUGUGUCAACAAAAAGAAGGAGGCUUUAGUUAGUAACAAUUAGUUAAUAAUAAUUAUUAUUUACUAAAUUAACAGCGGGAAUUAAAAACUUUGUUUAUAUAAUAUAGAAUAGCUUAUAAUAUUAAAUAGAUGUACAAUUUUUCAGAAUUUUACAAUAAUUAAUAAACGCAUUAACAAAUAAUUCAAAAUUAUAAAAUAUAUUGCAUUUUUAAAUUUGAAUGUUAAUCAAAGAACUCAUACUGCUCUUUUAUUUAUGCACCAAAAGCUGACU